Molecule: ribosomal RNA, 506 nt
Filed under: uncultured bacterium
Lineage: Bacteria
Description: partial 16S ribosomal RNA
Rfam family: Bacterial small subunit ribosomal RNA
Source: RNAcentral
AGUGAACGCUGGCGGUAGGCCUAACACAUGCAAGUCGAUCGGCAGCACAGAGGAGCUUGCUCCUUGGGUGGCGAGUGGCGGACGGGUGAGGAAUACAUCGGAAUCUACUCUGUCGUGGGGGAUAACGUAGGGAAACUUACGCUAAUACCGCAUACGACCUACGGGUGAAAGCAGGGGACCUUCGGGCCUUGCGCGAUUGAAUGAGCCGAUGUCGGAUUAGCUAGUUGGCGGGGUAAAGGCCCACCAAGGCGACGAUCCGUAGCUGGUCAGAGAGGAUGAUCAGCCACACUGGAACUGAGACACGGUCCAGACUCCUACGGGAGGCAGCAGUGGGGAAUAUUGGACAGUGGGCGCAAGCCUGAUCCAGCCAUACCGCGUGGGUGAAGAAGGCCUUCGGGUUGUAAAGCCCUUUUGUUGGGAAAGAAAUCCAGCUGGCUAAUACCCGGUUGGGAUGACGGUACCCAAAGAAUAAGCACCGGCUAACUUCGUGCCAGCCGCCGCCGUAA